Molecule: ribosomal RNA, 403 nt
Filed under: uncultured bacterium
Lineage: Bacteria
Description: bacterial SSU rRNA
Rfam family: Bacterial small subunit ribosomal RNA
Source: RNAcentral
UGGGGGAUAUUGCACAAUGGGGGAAACCCUGAUGCAGCGACGCCGCGUGCAGGAAGACGGUCCUCUGGAUUGUAAACUACUGUCUUCGGGGACGAUAAUGACGGUACCCGAGGAGGAAGCUCCGGCUAACUACGUGCCAGCAGCCGCGGUAAUACGUAGGGAGCGAGCGUUGUCCGGAAUUACUGGGUGUAAAGGGAGUGUAGGCGGCUGUGCAAGUCAGAAGUGAAAGCCCGGGGCUCAACCCCGGGACUGCUUUUGAAACUGCAUGGCUUGAGUGCAGGAGAGGUAAGUGGAAUUCUCGGUGUAGCAGUGAAAUGCGUAGAUAUCGAGAGGAACACUCGUGGCGAAGGCGGGUUCCUGGACAUUAACUGACGCUGAGGUACGAAGGCUAGGGUAGCGAAAG